Molecule: ribosomal RNA, 197 nt
Filed under: Hypocreales sp.
Lineage: Eukaryota; Fungi; Ascomycota; Sordariomycetes; Hypocreales
Description: partial small subunit ribosomal RNA
Source: RNAcentral
CGAGACCUUAACCUGCUAAAUAGCCCGUAUUGCUUUGGCAGUACGCCGGCUUCUUAGAGGGACUAUCGGCUCAAGCAGAUGGAAGUUUGAGGCAAUAACAGGUUAACCGUAACAGGCCUGUAAUAGUAGAGCCUUAUAAUCUGCUAGUUGCUGUCUUUACCUCUCUGAGGGGAGCCCCUCGAUAUCGGGGAGAGGAG